UACGGAGGAUCCGAGCGUUAUCCGGAUUUAUUGGGUUUAAAGGGUGCGUAGGCGGAAAUGUAAGUCAGUGGUGAAAUCCUGCAGCUUAACUGUAGAAUAGCCGUUGAAACUGUGUUUCUUGAGUACAUUUGAGGUAGGCGGAAUGUGGUGUGUAGCGGUGAAAUGCAUAGAUAUACCACAGAACACCGAUUGCGAAGGCAGCUUACUAAACUGUCACUGACGCUGAUGCGCGAAAGCGUGGGUAUCAAACAGGAUUAGA
Molecule: ribosomal RNA, 259 nt
Filed under: uncultured prokaryote
Description: partial 16S ribosomal RNA
Rfam family: Bacterial small subunit ribosomal RNA
Source: RNAcentral